ACUCCUACGGGAGGCAGCAGUGGGGAAUUUUGGACAAUGGGGGAAACCCUGAUCCAGCCAUCCCGCGUGUAUGAUGAAGGCCUUCGGGUUGUAAAGUACUUUUGGCAGAGAAGAAAAGGUAUCUCCUAAUACGAGAUACUGCUGACGGUAUCUGCAGAAUAAGCACCGGCUAACUACGUGCCAGCAGCCGCGGUAAUACGUAGGGUGCAAGCGUUAAUCGGAAUUACUGGGCGUAAAGCGUGUGUAGGCGGUUCGGAAAGAAAGAUGUGAAAUCCCAGGGCUCAACCUUGGAACUGCAUUUUUAACUGCCGAGCUAGAGUAUGUCAGAGGGGGUAGAAUUCCACGUGUAGCAGUGAAAUGCGUAGAUAUGUGGAGGAAUACCGAUGGCGAAGGCAGCCCCUGGCAUAGUAACUGACGCUCAGACACGAAAGCGUGGGGAGCAAACAGGAUUAGAUACCCUGGUAGCUACGAG
RNAcentral lists this ribosomal RNA (472 nucleotides) under uncultured bacterium. Its description in RNAcentral is "bacterial SSU rRNA". It matches the Rfam family "Bacterial small subunit ribosomal RNA", at positions 335 to 801 of the family's 1533-position model. The record is from RNAcentral.